RNAcentral lists this ribosomal RNA (273 nucleotides) under uncultured bacterium. Its description in RNAcentral is "partial 16S ribosomal RNA". It matches the Rfam family "Bacterial small subunit ribosomal RNA", at positions 523 to 796 of the family's 1533-position model. The record is from RNAcentral.
AGACAGAGGGUGCAAACGUUGUUCGGAAUUACUGGGCGUAAAGCGCGUGUAGGCUGUUGUGCAAGUCGGGUGUGAAAGCCCUGGCUCAACCCAGGAAGUGCACUCGAAACUGCGCGACUUGAGUCUCGGAGAGGGAGGCGGAAUUCUGGGUGUAGAGGUGAAAUUCGUAGAUAUCCAGAGGAACACCGGCGGCGAAGGCGGCCUCCUGGACGAGCACUGACGCUGAGACGCGAUAGCGUGGGGAGCAAACAGGAUUAGAAACCCCAGUAGUCC